This 402-nucleotide ribosomal RNA is filed under the name uncultured bacterium. RNAcentral describes it as "bacterial SSU rRNA". It matches the Rfam family "Bacterial small subunit ribosomal RNA", at positions 355 to 774 of the family's 1533-position model. The record is from RNAcentral.
UGGGGAAUCUUGCACAAUGGGGGAAACCCUGAUGCAGCGACGCCGCGUGAACGAUGAAGCCCUUCGGGGUGUAAAGUUCUUUCGACAGGAACGAUAAUGACGGUACCUGGAGAAGAAGCUGCGGCUAACUACGUGCCAGCAGCCGCGGUAAUACGUAGGCAGCGAGCGUUGUUCGGAGUUACUGGGCGUAAAGAGUGCGUAGGCGGCGAGCCAAGUUUGGUGUGAAAUCUCCUGGCUUAACCGGGAGGGUGCGCCGAAAACUGGUUGGCUGGAGUAUGGGAGAGGAAAGCGGAAUUCCUGGUGUAGCGGUGAAAUGCGUAGAUAUCAGGAGGAACACCUGCGGUGUAGACAGCUUUCUGGACCAAAACUGACGCUGAGGCACGAAAGCGUGGGUAGCAAACA